This is a long non-coding RNA of Eriocheir sinensis (Chinese mitten crab), 740 nucleotides long. RefSeq lists it as uncharacterized. The record is from RefSeq and is a predicted model, not a curated record. The transcript is spliced from 2 exons. NCBI's taxonomy places the organism in Eukaryota, Metazoa, Arthropoda, Malacostraca, Decapoda, Varunidae.
UGACGGUGGUGGUUGGGGUUAGUGACAUGAGUAGGUUGAGAUGACAUGAGAUGAGAAUUUGAAGUGAGAAGGCCCUGUUGGUUAUGAGGUUUUGCAGUCAUGAAUGUAAGGUGAAAUGACAUGACGAUAGGGUGGUGAUGGUGGUGGUUGGUGGAAAUGGUAUGGUAGAAAUUGGGUAUGGUAGAAUUGGGUUGAAGAGGUUGAUGUCUGUCAGUUUAGGUAAUCCUGGGUUUGAUGGUGGCAGCAAUGUAUAGUAGAAAUUGGGUAUGGUAGAAUUGGGUUGAAGAGGUUGAUGUCUGUUGAUUUGGGUAGUCCUGGGUUUGGUGAUGGUGGUGGUGGUAAUACAGAAUUGGGUUGACAAGGUUGAUGCCUGUUGAUUUGGGUAGUCCUGGGUUUGGUGGUGGUGAUGAAAUUGAUGGUGGUAGAAAUAUAGCAAUGGGUUGGUCUGGCAUGAGAUUAUACAGUUGGCAAAUGCAAAGUCAAACAUUACAUUAAUUAGAAUAUAGAUUAAAAAAUACUAACAUAUCAACGAAACAGGAUUAAAUUAUUGCAUAGUGAUGUAGGAAUCUAAAACUAGCACCACAAGAUAUGCAUACAUGGUAGUUAAAAAUUCAUAAUAAAAAUCUUGAUGAUAUAAGAAUGUAUAUAUAGAGAGAGCAAAAAUUCUUCGGCAAUGAUGAAGUUAAAAUGUAAAUACCAGAAUGUUGUUGAGACUAAGUUAGUAAAUUUAAGAAAGGGGA